RNAcentral lists this unclassified non-coding RNA (677 nucleotides) under Hevea brasiliensis (rubber tree). The record is from RNAcentral. Lineage: Eukaryota; Viridiplantae; Streptophyta; Magnoliopsida; Malpighiales; Euphorbiaceae.
UUCUCAUUCAGGUACCCCACUGCUCACAACUGGAUUUGGCUUGGACCCUGGCCAGGGCGUGCGAAAUUUGCUUCGAGUUGCUGCCCCUCGUGGAGUCCAUGGUGCAUGAAAUGCAAAUGGUCGCAUUUCAGAUGUCAAUACGAGUGGGAGAUGGGGAUGGAGGGUAGCAGUCACAUGUAAGAGUGGAUGUGGGGAGUUUGCUAACCCAACCAUUUGCCGGCCGUCCUUGGUUCAACCAUUUUCAAGCGAGCUUGGCCAAGGGGUUAUAACUACGCUUUUGAUGAUGGAGCCAGUAGAUUAUGCCCUAAUGCAAAUGGGAUUGGAUAUCUGAUGGUACAGUUGGUAGUGCAUCCACUGCUCCAGUAAUUCACAAGCCCAGCAAAAGAGAAACUGUGAAGAUGGCUUCUUCCUCAAACAUUUUCCUGCACCUUCCAACGAGAAUUCUUCUUAUCCUCUAUCUAUGCUUCAAAACAUAAAUGGCUAUGCUAUCUUAACUGUCUUGUAAGCAUGAAACUUUCUGCUGAACAGAUGCUCACCAGAAUAGAUCCCACAGGUUAAUAAGUGAUAAAUCUUGCAGAAAACACACAGGAUAGGAAAAAAUUUAGGCUUUUACAUUUUCAUAGAUUUGAAUUAGGAACCACAAAACUCGGCUUUGUGCUAUUGUAUUCUCAAAAUGC